RNAcentral lists this long non-coding RNA (2513 nucleotides) under Setaria viridis. RNAcentral describes it as "long non-coding RNA (SVIR_LNC001068)". Lineage: Eukaryota; Viridiplantae; Streptophyta; Magnoliopsida; Poales; Poaceae. The record is from RNAcentral.
ACACGUUUCUCUCCCGGUCCACCCUCUCUCUUCAGUCUUCACCCUGCGCCCGCGGCCGUCCAGUGCAAAAACUCCAAACUGAUCAAAUCCUCCUCCUCCGCCGUUGCCUCCCCCCUUCAUUCCCUAGACCUGCCACGGAACACGCGCGCGCUUCCAUUCCUAGCCCACGCCGAAGCGAAGCACGCCACCGGCCGCCACCAAGGGUCUUCCCUAGCACUCAUCCUUGCCGUCCUCGUCCUCCUCUUCUCCAGGGGACCGCCGCGUAGCAGAGAUCCGCCCGCGACAUAGCCUGACUUCUUCGCUUGCCGGUAAGGAAUCUCUAGCUUCCUUUCACGGGUUGUUCGGAGAGCAAGCCCCGUUGCGGAUGAUAGAUAGGAUAUUUUCUUUGCUAGUAUAAGGCUCUUAGCAAUCGGAUCCGGAUCUCGCUUGCUGGGAUGGAUGCUCCGAUCCACCCAUCAAGCCUGCUGCUGCAGCGUGAUUCCGUGUCAGCGGCGGAAGGAUGUGCGGAUUGGGUUUAAUUGGCCGCGAAACUCGUGUUAUCUUAUCUUUGACUCGCUGUAGAAAUCCAUCUAUUCUUAGCCUGCGCAGCUGGUCCGAAUUAAGGUCAACGGAUGGCAGGAUAGGCAGGCUGGCCGAAUCUUGGCUAUUACUGGCUGUCAUGUGCGUGGUGGUCGUCGAAACGCAGAUCGUACCAAACACGAGCUAAUUGAAUAAGUGAAUCAAUUAUAGCAUGGGUAGAUGGUAUUAAUAAACUAAGGGGGAACCUCCCUUGAGGUUGUGGGAAGAACCAACCGCUGUCUCGUUAGAGAUCAAUUAGUUCAUCAGAGGGACUAAACUCUAACGAGGCUAGAGGUUGGUUCUUGAGGCCAGACGGAGAUUGUUCAUACCAUCCGUUGUUGUUUCUAGUUUUCUAGCGUAGCUGCUUCAGUAAUUCCAACUUGUUCAGGGUAAGUUGCUUUGCAAAUUUUUUAGCCUUGUACCCUUGUCAUAUGUUGUUGAAUUUCAUGAACCUAAUAAAAUGGAGGGUUGGUUCCCAAUUUCUAGUUUGGAUAGGGAUUUGUCCUGUAUGUCAGCAGGCCAGCCAUAUUUAUUUGAUUUGACUAUUAGACAAAAACUAGCGCAAUUACAAGACGAUUCAGAUCUUCUUGUCCUUGGCCUCGCCCCUUUCUAGUCAUGUGAGGGGAAAAUAUAUGAUGCAGAUAGGACGUUCUGCAAAUUCCUUUCACAGUAGAGCAUAGAAACUUGUUUUUGCUUCUUUUGUCCAUGUGAACUAUUUAGAGUUUGAGACACUGCUUUGCCUUGCGAUCAGAAGAAUAUAACAUCUACGCACCUUUGAUUUAUCUCAAUUGAUAGAACAAAUCAUAACCAGUUAAUCCAACAGCAUCAUGUAUAUGUCAAGAGUGAAACAUUGUCUUGUUUAUGCUUCAUCCACUGAAAUUCACACAUUAUAUGUGAGUAUUUUCUACAUAUACACGAGUGCCCCCCUACCUAAUGCAAGGAUGUAAGUGUAACUGCAGUUGAGAAAACUUCCGAGUUCUGAGGAUGCUUUGAGUCUGUGAUCUCCUGUCUUGGUAAUGUAUAAAGUAAAUGCAGUGAUAAUUUCAAAAUGCAGAUUCCUGCUACUGUUUCCUUAAUUCCAGUUAACCUAAAUUACUAAAUUUGUGCUUCAGGUAUGAUUAAGGUCCACUUUUCUUCUUGAAUGUAUUGUUGGUUCUAAUAAUACUGAGGUAGUAUUAUCGCUGUGUGCACUUUGUAUUGCUACUGGGAUGACAAUAUAGUAGUUUGGACCUUGUUGGUUAAUACCUUGCAUUUUGUUUCUUCACUCCACUCAAUGUGGCAGUUGACAGUGAUGGAAGUUAAUCUGUUCUUUGCUCUCUGAUGUUUAGCUGACUUUAAGACUAUUGCAUUUUCAUUUUCCUUUGGAAGUACUAAGUAGAGGGUAGAUAAACUAUUCAGCUGGGAUCUUUCUUUAUGACAAUAGUCCGUUGCAGCAUAGCAGGUAGUCCAGAGCUUUCAGCAAUCAAUUUAGUUGCCAAAUGAUGAAUUCUUCCUUCCAAAUUGUUUUCUCCCUAGCCUUCUGGGACUCUGUUCCUGCAGAAAUAGGAGUGUUUUUUCCUGUUCCUUGGUUGUGUUACUACUUUUAGGUUUUGCCAUGUCAUGUAUGCUUUAUAUGCUCUUCCUAAUCCUACUACAUCAUUUCACAAGUCUCUAGAGUUCUGAUGGCCUUCAACCCUCGAAAUGCAGCCUUCAAUUGAUGGCCUCACCUUCAGCACCAACCGACAGUCAGGAAGCUGCUCGUCAGUCUCUGAUCGCAAUCUCCCAGUCUGUACCGGAGACACCUUCACCCCAGACGGUGAAGACACCGACCUCCACUGAAGAGAACGGGAAGCUGGAGGAUGGGGCUGACAAGUACAGAUCGAAGCUGAUGUCCAUCACAGACCUGUCUUCUGACGCCCAACCUACGCCGUGCCCUCCCAAGGAUGUUGCCGCUUAACCGUGUGAUGCUCGUUGCU